RNAcentral lists this transfer RNA (85 nucleotides) under Felis catus (domestic cat). It matches the Rfam family "tRNA". Rfam says of the family: Transfer RNA (tRNA) molecules are approximately 80 nucleotides in length. Their secondary structure includes four short double-helical elements and three loops (D, anti-codon, and T loops). Further hydrogen bonds mediate the characteristic L-shaped molecular structure. tRNAs have two regions of fundamental functional importance: the anti-codon, which is responsible for specific mRNA codon recognition, and the 3' end, to which the tRNAs corresponding amino acid is attached (by aminoacyl-tRNA synthetases). tRNAs cope with the degeneracy of the genetic code in two manners: having more than one tRNA (with a specific anti-codon) for a particular amino acid; and 'wobble' base-pairing, i.e. permitting non-standard base-pairing at the 3rd anti-codon position. The record is from Rfam by way of RNAcentral. Lineage: Eukaryota; Metazoa; Chordata; Mammalia; Carnivora; Felidae.
GCCUGGGUGGCUCAGUCGGUUAAGCAUCUGACUUCGACUCAGGUCAUGAUCUCACAGUCCGUGAGUUCGAGCCCCGCGUCGGGCU